RNAcentral lists this ribosomal RNA (239 nucleotides) under uncultured bacterium. Its description in RNAcentral is "partial 16S ribosomal RNA". It matches the Rfam family "Bacterial small subunit ribosomal RNA", at positions 15 to 235 of the family's 1533-position model. The record is from RNAcentral.
GAUCCUGGCUCAGGACGAACGCUGGCGGCGUGCUUAACACAUGCAAGUCGAACGAGAAUCUACGGAAAGAGGAUUCGUCCAAUUGAAGCAGAGGACAGUGGCGGACGGGUGAGUAACGCGUGAGGAACGUGCCGUUUCAGAGGGGGACAACAGUUGGAAACGACUGCUAAUACCGCAUGACACAUUGGGGUCGCAUGGCCCCGAUGUCAAAGAUUUUAUCGCUGAAAGAUGGCCUCGCG